RNAcentral lists this long non-coding RNA (1187 nucleotides) under Homo sapiens (human). RNAcentral's name for it is "HSALNT0380502". Lineage: Eukaryota; Metazoa; Chordata; Mammalia; Primates; Hominidae. The record is from RNAcentral.
GGUGCCCAAUCAGCAGCCGAGCCGUUGGGCCAGGCUGGGAAGCAGUGCUGUCUUUUGGCACCGUCUGAUCCGGGCUGAGGGAUUGAAGGCGGUGGUCGCUAAGCUAGGUCUAAGACGGACAGCCAGGGCGACAACCAGUCUCUCGCUACGUGUCCCCAGCUUCCCUGUUUCCGAGCGCCUCUCAAGGCGCACGCUCUGGACUUGUUCAGAUGGGGGAAGGGAACUGGUCUGGAACUCCCCACUAUUCCCGAGGUUCCCACGCCUCCAGAUCCGGAGAGGCCGUUUCGCUCCAGUGGCCUGGCCCCCCUGCCCCCUCAGCCUAGCCGUUCUUGAUCGUAAGUGCUAAAAGGAACAAAGAAGGAGAAUUCAAGAAUCCACACAUAAGCCCAAACCCUGACAGGAGCCUUUUCCUCUCCCAUCUCCUGCCUACGCUUCCUCCUAGUAGCUUUUUAACUGCUGGCGGUUAAGUUACUUUGACUGGUUUGAAUUAAACGCAAAAUAGGUUUAGGCUGAGAAAUGGGCCAGACCCUUGGCGAUCUGAGAAAGAAAGACUGAGUCCGGAUGUCAAGAGGCCUGGGCCUCACGAGGGAGUUUGUCUGCUUAUUUGAACACCUCAGAGUUGAAGAUCUUGUUACUGCUAUUUCUGUGCUGGUGAAUCAGUACAGACCUUGAUGCCAAGGUACAUAGUGUCAGAACUGAAUUGGAGGACACCCAGCUGGUGUAUACUGCUUCAUGUCGGGGAGAAAAACCCCCACACCUUUGGUCACAGAAGGCUUCUGUGUUGAUGUUCGUUGUGAUGAUGUGAGAGCAGAGGAAAAAGAGAAAGCAGGAGUUUUCUUAUCAGUGAAAUAAGUACAAUAUUGCUCAUGUGAGUGGAAUAGUCCCACUGUUGGAAACAUCUCUUGCAAAGGCUCAGCCUAGGUAUGUAAUGGUCCCUUAUUACUCAUCCCUAAAUGAAGGCAUUAAAAUAUGUGAGCAAUUCAUCAAAUUAGUGUCAGCCAUUAGCCUUAAUUCAAAUUAAUGCAUGAGAUUCAUUUCCUCCUGGCAAAUCACAUAGUACAGUGCUGAGGGAAAGAGAAAAGUCUGCUAAGACUGUUUGAGAUGAGAGAAAAGGGUCAGAUCUGGGCUUGACAGGAAAUGGAUCAAUAUGAAGGAGGUAAUGAGUGGUGGGACCCAAACUAGGGACC